Molecule: ribosomal RNA, 356 nt
Filed under: uncultured eukaryote
Lineage: Eukaryota
Description: SSU rRNA
Rfam family: Eukaryotic small subunit ribosomal RNA
Source: RNAcentral
AGCUCCAAUAGCGUAUAUUAAAAUUGUUGCAGUUAAAAAGCUCGUAGUUGAAUCUCAGGUUAGGCGCGUCGGUUUGGUCUUGGUACUAUGACUGUCUGCGUCUGCCUUUCACAGCUGUUAGUCAUCUCACGGUUCUCUUUACUGAAUGCUGUGUGAACGCUGGGCACGUUUACCUUGAAAAAAUCAGAGUGUUCAAUGCAGGCUCAGUGCCUGAAUGUUGUUGCAUGGAAUAAUAGAAUAGGACUUCGGUUCUAUUUUGUUGGUUUUCGGUACCGAAGUAAUGACAAAUAAGAGGUGAAAUUCUGAGAUCACCGACAGACAAACUACUGCGAAAGCAUUUGCCAAGUAUGUCUUCA